UCCCCAUCCUUCGCUUCAUCCGUCUCUCAGCCCUCCGUGGAUCUAUCAGUCAAAACGCAAUGGUGCUUCCACAGUGGAAUGCAAACGCGAACGCGGUUCUUUACGUGACAGAUGGGGAAGCGCAAGUACAGAUCGUAAACGACAACGGUGACAGAGUGUU
Molecule: non-coding RNA, 160 nt
Organism: Camelina sativa (false flax)
Lineage: Eukaryota; Viridiplantae; Streptophyta; Magnoliopsida; Brassicales; Brassicaceae
Source: RefSeq, a predicted model, not a curated record